GAUGAACGCUGGCGGCGUGCCUAAUACAUGCAAGUCGAGCGAACGGACGAGAAGCUUGCUUCUCUGAUGUUAGCGGCGGACGGGUGAGUAACACGUGGAUAACCUACCUAUAAGACUGGGAUAACUUCGGGAAACCGGAGCUAAUACCGGAUAAUAUUUUGAACCGCAUGGUUCAAAAGUAAAAGACGGUCUUGCAGUCACUUAUAGAUGGAUCCGCGCUGCAUUAGCUAGUUGGUAAGGUAACGGCUUACCAAGGCAACGAUGCAUAGCCGACCUGAGAGGGUGAUCGGCCACACUGGAACUGAGACACGGUCCAGACUCCUACGGGAGGCAGCAGUAGGGAAUCUUCCGCAAUGGGCGAAAGCCUGACGGAGCAACGCCGCGUGAGUGAUGAAGGUCUUCGGAUCGUAAAACUCUGUUAUUAGGGAAGAACAUAUGUGUAAGUAACUAUGCACAUCUUGACGGUACCUAAUCAGAAAGCCACGGCUAACUACGUG
Molecule: ribosomal RNA, 497 nt
Filed under: uncultured bacterium
Lineage: Bacteria
Description: partial 16S ribosomal RNA
Rfam family: Bacterial small subunit ribosomal RNA
Source: RNAcentral